Long non-coding RNA from Heterocephalus glaber (naked mole-rat), 2566 nucleotides. The record is from Ensembl. NCBI's taxonomy places the organism in Eukaryota, Metazoa, Chordata, Mammalia, Rodentia, Bathyergidae.
GUCAGAAGGUGGGAGAGUGGGAGACAUUCUCUGAAUAUGGGAUACCGUGGAAAGUGUAUAAGAGCCAGACACUGUCCAGAACCAAUUCUCUUUUCUGAUUUUUCAACUUAUUCUUGACUAAAAGAUGCAACCAUGAUAUAAUCAGUGUGGAUGCAAGAAGAGGAAAUUUGAUUGGAUGAAAAAAUGAGCUUGCAGGGAAAAAUAAACAGUUCCUAAAGACUAAAAUGUAUUAUACUAGCGUGUUUACUGUAUAUCUAUGCAUGGUUUUGGAAUUUGGAGUCCUAGCCAUCUGCCUAGGUUGGGCUUGGUACAAAGGGAGGUUUAGACCAAGAGGGGUCUGAGCUGUUCUGCUCAGACCUUCUGAAUUGCCUAUGCUGAGAUUGGUCUCUCUCUUUAGCAGCUGUCACUUCCAGUAGCAAUGCUGUUCACCAAUAAUUUCUUCUUUCCUUUCCUGGCCUAUCUAGUCCUAGAGGAACACUCCCUGCAUCUUCCAGAGCACAAAGAGACCUCAAAAUCCCUUCCAGCCUUCACACUAGCAGUGCAGCAACUGAAAUCCUCACAUCCUUCAGCCUAGAGUGAGGUUGCAAGGUGUAUCAGUCCUGUGAAGGAGGUAUGAACCAGAGCCAAAGAUCUUGCUGUCUGCAUUACAAGGAAGAUAAAUAGUGGAAUCAGAGAACUUCGAACUAGAGCCCUGGGAUUAUCAACAGCCAGCCACAAAUCUCCAAGCUGCACUAAAGAGAACCUAAUUGCAAGGACCAGAGAGAAGUAUCCAGCAAACAGCCAACAUGAGAUUAAGGGCCUCAAUCCAAUAGCAAGGAGGAACCGAAUCCUGCCAACAACCUUGUGGAUGAGCUUGGAAGCAAAUCUUCCCCUCGCCUGGGUGAGAUAUGAGAUGACUGCUGCUCUUGCCAACUCUUGAUUGCAGCACUGUGAGAGACCCUAAGCCAAAGGACCCAGCUAAACCAUGCUGGCUCCUGAAUCAUAGAAAGUGAUAUAGCAAAUGUUUGUUGAUUUAAGAUGCUGAAUUUGAUGUAACUUGUUGCACAGAAAUAGAUCAUGGAUAUUAUUCUAAUUACUGCACAGUACCCCUGGCAUGUCUACCACAAUUUACCCGUCUGCUUCUCCAGAAAAACAGCUGAUCAAUUCUAAUUCUACUAAUGAAGCCAAUACCAUGCUGUGAACACCUUGAGCCAGACCCCCUUCUGGAACAAUGGCACCAGUUUUCAGGGAGGCAUAUGCACAAUGGAACUGCUAGGGAAGCCCAGAAACUAGGGAAACACUCAGAAUUCAGGAAUUUAACAAAUUGAGAGGACUGCUACUUUUAAAAGAGGACUUUUUCCCAUAAGCAUUUGCUGUAAGGUGGGUAGUCCUUGAGGGGAAAUAGAGACCACUUCAUUAAUGGGUAUUUUAGAUGUGGGAUGGUAGGUUAAGAGCUAGUAAGAGGUGGUCUGAGGAACAACUUGGAGAGUUGGUGUCUUGUCUUGAAAAGACACUCUGGUAUUUUCCUCUUUUGUUACCCAGGUUGACUGAUUCAUGCUGGGAGGAAGAGGGAGGAAGGCUUGUUCAAAGCUGAGUUGACACAUCUAUAACCAUUGAAACAAUAUUUCUCUGUUUGGAUUUAGUAAAUGGCCUCAAGUUCCUGGAAAUGUGUACAGAGUCCCCGUGGCCAUGAGAAGAUCUGUCAUUUUAUUUUUUACAGUAGGCUAAAAUAUAUUUGGAAGUCAUUAGACUGUGGCUGUCCUAUAUCAAAAGGCGUUUCAUAACAAAACACCAUCAUGCCCCAUUUAUAGUAAUAGCAUGCUGUGUUCUGGCUGCUGUGGGCAAAUAAAAUAUGUUCUUGUAACAUAAACAGCCUCACCUUCCCUCUAAAGACUAAAGGGCUAUGAAAGAUUUAUUUAAAUGGAAUUUUGAAAUAUAAAGACAUGUGCAAAAACAUGUUUUAUAUAUAUAUAUGUAUAUACACAAUGAGACAGAUCAAUUACAUAAGACAGAUUGGCAUAGUUGAAAUGUCAACUCUAAAAUCUAAUAGAUAAUGCUGGAAAGAAGAAUGUCAGAAACAGAAGGGACAUUAAAAAUAUUUCAGUUCAGGCACUAAACUUUGUCCUUUUUUCCCAAUUAUUUUCGCUGUGAUAAAACACAUGUAAGAUAAAUUUCCCAUCUUAGCCAUUUGUAAGUGUACAGUUUGGUGGCAUUAUGUGCAUUCAUAGUGCUGUGCGACUAUCACUACUAUCCCUCUCUGUAACAUUCUCCUGUGGUGAAGCUGAAACACUAUGCCCAUUAAAUAGUAACUCCCUAUUCUCCACAAACCUGAAAACCACCAUUUAACUUUGUCUCUAUGAUUUUGACUUCUCUACCUUAUAUAGGUGGAAGCUUACUGUAUUUGUCUCUGCCACUGGUUUGUUUCAUUUAGCAUAAUGUCCUCAAGGCAGAUCCAUGACAGGACUUCUUCCUUUUUGAUGGCUAACAUUCCAUUGUAUGAGUGCACCACAUUUUGCUCACUCAUUUGGCAGAAACCUUGUGUUGCUAUUGUGAAUAAUGCAGCAUAAACAUGGUGCACAAAUAUCUC